UACAGAGGGUGCGAGCGUUAAUCGGAAUUACUGGGCGUAAAGCGCACGUAGGCGGCUUGGUAUGUCGGGUGUGAAAUCCCCGGGCUCAACCUGGGAACUGCAUCCGAAACUGCCUUGCUAGAGUAUGGGAGAGGGAAGUGGAAUUUCCGGUGUAGCGGUGAGAUGCGUAGAUAUCGGAAGGAACAUCAGUGGCGAAGGCGACUUCCUGGACCAAUACUGACGCUCAGGUGCGAAAGCGUGGGGAGCAAACAGG
RNAcentral lists this ribosomal RNA (253 nucleotides) under uncultured bacterium. RNAcentral's name for it is "partial 16S ribosomal RNA". It matches the Rfam family "Bacterial small subunit ribosomal RNA", at positions 524 to 776 of the family's 1533-position model. The record is from RNAcentral.